This 161-nucleotide ribosomal RNA is filed under the name uncultured bacterium. RNAcentral's name for it is "partial 16S ribosomal RNA". It matches the Rfam family "Bacterial small subunit ribosomal RNA", at positions 355 to 508 of the family's 1533-position model. The record is from RNAcentral.
UGGGGAAUAUUGGACAAUGGGCGAAAGCCUGAUCCAGCCAUGCCGCGUGUGUGAAGAAGGUCUUCGGAUUGUAAAGCACUUUAAGUUGGGAGGAAGGGUUGUAGAUUAAUACCCUGCAAUUUUGACGUUACCGACAGAAUAAGCACCGGCUAACUCUGUGC